GAUGAAGAACGCAGUGAAAUGCGAUAAGUAAUGUGAAUUGCAGAAUUCAGUGAAUCAUCGAAUCUUUGAACGCACAUGGCGCCUUCCAGUAUCCUGGGAGGCAUGCCUGUCCGAGCGUCGUUUCAACCCUCGAGCCCCCGUGGCCCGGCGUUGGGGAUCUGCCACGGCAGGCCCCUAAAACCAGUGGCGGACCCGAAGGCCCUCUCCUUUGCGCAGUAGCAUCAGCCUCGCAUUGGGAUCCCUCGGCGUCCUGCCUCUAAACCCCCCACAAGUCCGCUCCGGCGGCACCAAGGUUGACCUCGGAUCAGGUAGGAAUACCCGCUGAACUUAAGCAUAUCAAUAAGCGGAGGA
This 351-nucleotide unclassified non-coding RNA is filed under the name soil metagenome. Its description in RNAcentral is "partial contains 5.8S ribosomal RNA, internal transcribed spacer 2, and large subunit ribosomal RNA". The stretch from base 1 to 120 matches the Rfam family "5.8S ribosomal RNA", at positions 35 to 154 of the family's 154-position model. The record is from RNAcentral.